CUGUGCACCUUCUUUUACAAACCUGGCUUCUUUACAUUCAAUAGCCAUCACUGUGAUCUAUCUGAUCUAGACAGCUGUGCCGAGACAGAGGAUUUUGAAAUAUUGCUGUAAAAAACUGGAAGCUUUUUUUGCCACACUUGUAUUCAUUUUAGUGGUUAUCACUGUAACAGUUAACAAAAGACACAAAGACAUCCAUACCCAAAACACAGCAUAUGAAGAUUUAAUUUUUUUUCAAAUGGCACAUACAUUUAAAUAGCUACUACUUCUCCCAUUUGGCAAGGCCAUUGUUGUGGCUAAUGUAUGUAUUUCUGAAAACAAUGAUACGUUUCCAAUACUUUCUUCCACAAUUUUUUUUCAAUGAGCAAUAAAGGAGGUUGAGGUGGGAUGUGUUUUAUCCCACCACAUUAUAUCAUUCCUCUUUUUCCUCUUUGUUGGAUGGCAAUCAGGAACCCUCAUGCCAAGCUUGGGAAGCAACAGCAUCUGGCUCCUUGGCAGAUUCUGCAGGCGGUCUUGUUGCCAGCCUUUAAGCUGUGUCUGGGUCUGCUGCAUGGUUUGGCUGCAGAUGGGCUCUCUGGGUUGCCUUGUGCUUAUGGGUGCCAGUUUUGGCUUACCUUUGAUUCUGAGGACUUUACUCAUUUUUAUUCAUUUGUGAAUAAGGACCCAUCCAAAUGCUUCAUGAAACCAGUAUCAAAGUGUGCCGAUAUUUAAAAUGAAAAGGGAAGGAGGCUGCUUCCCUUCCCCCUCCCCUCCCCAGGAUGAAACAUUAUAAUAGCAUCUGCAAAUGGAUCUGGAUCUAUCAGUAUUUCCAUUAUAAAUCAGAGGCUUAGAGCUCAGCCAUGAAUAUUCCUCCCAGAACGAAAUGCAAUGCUGCCGUUAGUAUCAAAAUAGCGCCGAAGGUUUUUCAGACCACCUAGGCAUUCCCGUGCUUGGUUUCCCUCCUCCAAGGGAGAUCAUUUUAAAGACGUGACAGUCUAGCAUUGAACAUACGUCCAAAAACUUGUGUGUGACAAAAAUUGCUUCUCGCUGGUGUUUCUGGAAGCUGAGGUUCAGUGCAGUUUUGGAGUCACUUCCAACCCCAAGAUUGAAAGAAAAUCUUUGAAGCUGGAGAAUCAGUGGGUGCCGAGCUGCGGCCGUGAACACAAUCCUCUGCGACCACUAUCUGUAGACCUUGGAGGCUGGGAGGAUGCAGCAGGGAAGCUGUUUGCACGUCUCCUGCACUGAGCUAGAGAGGCCGCUGCUCAGACCCUGUCUGGCCAUCAUUCUGCCUGGGUUUGGGCGCCCUGAUGGGAACCGCCUCUCCCAAAGGGGUGCGGGGAGAGGGGGAUGCAGGAGGCUAAUCGGAGGUGUCAGGCUGCGCAGCAGCGAGCGAGGCGGGGGGCAACCCAGUACCUCUGCCCAGCCAGUCAGGGCUGAUACUGCUCAGCACAGAUGGCUGAGGGGGCUGCCCAGUGACCAAAUUAAGCCUUCAAAACACAACACGACUUCUCGCGUUUUGGAAGGAGACUUUCUGGCCCCCAGGCCCCGGUGCCUGCACCUCCCUACCUGUCUGGCUAGACAAGGCUAUCUGGGGAGAGGUGGGGAUUCACCUUCAAAAAAAAAAAUAAAAAAGAUUGUUCCUGUUCUGGUGAAGGACUUGAGUGCCGAUGCAGCUCUAAGCAUGGGAGGAAGUUACGUGUGUUUCAUGAGAUGGCUCACCUUUAAAAUUAAACUACUUAAUAACUUUCAAAUGUCAGGUCUCAUUAUUGCAUGUCGGUCAGAACCUUGUCUAAAGUUCAUUUGAUUUUUGGCUAGUAAGAGCACACAUUACAGAUCAAAAUAAUAACCUAAUAACUAGUUAGGAUUUUUAAUGUGAACCUCUCCCCCCUCCCGUGUGAGUGCUAUGAGAAUUCGUCAGGAAAUCUCACAUUAGCAAUAAGAACACACAUGAAUAUUAUCUCCAAAAAGAUUCCAACAUGAGCAAAAGGUGAGGGUGCCAAUAAAUAGAGAAGGUCAAAAAACAGAUUUGGUGAUUAUUUGUUUAAAUUCCAUCUGAUUUCUCUUUCCAGGCUGUCUCUUAUGCAUUUUGCUUAGGGAAGCAAUGGUUGCCUAUUGUUGGAGAGGUUAGUUAUUCUUUGUAAUGUCCGUCUGCACAUAAAAACACGACUGUUUAUAUGGUCACGUCAGUAUUUCCUUGUUUACUGUUCUCUUUGACGAGUUUCACCCAUCCAAAGGAAAACAGAAGGAUUAGUGUGUGGUUUAGGUGAUCGGCUGAAUACCACGAGGGGCGAAUGGCAAAUAGGAAACCGUCAGCUCAAACAGCUCAUAAAUUAGGCACAAGAUGAAAAUCAUGACCCUAAAUCAUUAGCAGCCAGAAGUAAAAAUAAGCCAAAAAGUUGUGAACAUGCUCAACACAGCUCUGGCUGGUCCAUCAACCAUUCACUAACAGAAGUUCUGCAACUAUGGCCAGUGAUAUUUGAACAAAUAAUAUUACUGUUGCUAGCUCUGCUGUGUGUGACUCCCACCUCACAGAGGAGGACUAGGCAGGGAUCACACGCCCUGAG
RNAcentral lists this long non-coding RNA (2540 nucleotides) under Gallus gallus (chicken). RNAcentral describes it as "lncRNA (ENSGALG00010010412.1)". Lineage: Eukaryota; Metazoa; Chordata; Aves; Galliformes; Phasianidae. The record is from RNAcentral.